Carcharodon carcharias (great white shark) is the source of this 1226-nucleotide long non-coding RNA. RefSeq lists it as uncharacterized. The transcript has 2 exons. The record is from RefSeq and is a predicted model, not a curated record. NCBI's taxonomy places the organism in Eukaryota, Metazoa, Chordata, Chondrichthyes, Lamniformes, Lamnidae.
UCCCGGUGUCUGCCUGUCAGCGCGGAGCAGGAGCAUUCGGUGCGGCUCCAGGAAACUGAGCGGGGCCGAGCGCAGCCUGAGCAACAGCGAUAAAGGCAAAAAACUGCGGAUGCUGGAAAUCGAGAACAAAAACAAAAAUACCUGGAAAAACUCAGCAGGUCUGACAGCAUCUGCGGAGAGGAACAGAGUUAACGUUUCGAGUCCAUAUGACUCUUCAACAGAACUAAGGAAAAAAAGAAGAGAGCUUCUGGCAAACAAAUCGAUCAAAGACAAGUAGUUGGACGAUGAACCAGACAGAACAGUCCGUGGCUGCAUAAAGUAGGGCAGCAUGUAUAUGGACUUCACAAAAUAAAACUUCACCCAAUAAACAGCAGGAAUUCGUUUCAAUGUCACAUCAAGGAUAACGACCAGAUCAGCCGCUGCCAUGGCCACCAGGUAGUGAGUGACACAUUUGCAGAGUCCACACUUGCCCCGAGACAGGAUCAUAAUCGCCACUAAAUUGACUGUAUGGACCGGGAAUAAAUAUGACAAUUCUACAGGAGUCUGGGAGCAAAAGCAGCAAUUUGAUGGAAUUCAGGAUGAAAUGUGGAACGUUGUGACCGAAUUCAUUGAUGAACCUAAUUAUUAGCCAUGUGACAGCUCUUUCUGCUCUAGACCGAUUUAACUGCAGAACAAUUAGCAAUCAAUUACACAACAUAAAAGAUGAGUGACAGGAAUAAGCUGUGACACAUAAUAGAAUACCAAUUCAUAUGAUAAAUAAUAAAUCAACUGAUAAAAAAUGAAAUGUCCUUUCCAUCUUUGGGGAGAUAUUGCUAAAAGGAAACAACAAAUAAAAAUGGACAGAAAGACCCAGCAUCUGUUCUGGUCUACGUAAGUAAUGAAGUAAGGAAGUGAAAUUCUGCUGAGUUCUUGAUUGAGAGAGGAAUCAGCACAGGUUCCUGCUCCUGAUCUCGACACAAUUAUCCUGAGUUAGAGUGUGAGCGGCCAUUUAGAAAGUCAGAAAAUGAACCAACGAAUAUGUCAAUCGUUAUUAUUGUAGGCAACGGUUCUUGCAAUUUCAAUCUUCUUUUCAAUGGAAACUUCCUGGACUUAUAUAUGAAACGAUAAUAGUCAAAACUGACUGACUUCAAGUAGUGUGAUAAUAUCAUCGGCAUUGUAACUUUUCAGUUGAUCAGACAUGCACCUAUUGAGAUUUAACCCAAUAAAAUUUAUUCUGAAUUAAAGAA